GAGAGAGAGAGAGGGGGGGGAAAGAGAGUCGCAUCGAACGGUCCCCCCGGGGAAUCGGCUCUAGAUUUUCACGAAGAGUGCCAAGACGACGACUCGAGCCCUCUUAACGAAGCUGGAAGCUAAGGACGGUGCGCACACACUCGAGGUGCACGUACGCAGAAGAAAACGAGAGGCUGUCUACGAGGCCGGAAGGGCGACGGGAACGGGAAGAGAGACAGAGAGAAGAAGGUGGGAUGCAAAAGGAGCCCUGUGCGAACGGCGAGAAAGGGACGAAGGAGCGAGAUGAGAGAGAGAGAGAGAGAAAGAGGGAGAGGGAGAAGAAGAAGAAGAAGGCAGGAGGAAGGCAGAAAAGAUGGGAGAUCUGAACUUGGACGAAGAGAAGCGCGGGGAGCGUGUACAGUGAGACCGGUCGACGAUUGUCAAUACGGCCUGCACGGGAAUACGACUUACUAGAACAAUCAUAGAACCAAGCAGCAGAACCAGUUGACUCCAGGAAAACGAACUAUUCGAUAAAAAUGCCGUUCUGCUCCUUAACGGCACGAAGAUCAGCGAUAGGGAGUUUUAAAUGAGACAGAGUUUGCUUUUCCAUGGAAAUGGGAUACAGCCUGCUUAAUCCGCGAUACGUUACUAUCUCGCUUUCUGUCGCAAGAUACAGGACUACUUUUUGCAACGAAAAACAGGAGAGAGGAAUGGAACAAGACGAAAUUCUAAUUAUAUCAUGUUUCGCUCGCAGAGCACUUUCUGGUUACUAAUGGGUAAUUUUCGAUAUUUUCAGCGAGAAAGUGCAACGUGAUAUCCAAUAAAACAUGCUCGGUCAAAUGAACGGAGUCGACCAAGAUGAAUGAGAGUCCUCGAAAAAAUCGCAGUCACGCCGCAAGAGUAAUUACGUACAUCAAGAGGGAUAGCCUCUUUUUACGAGUACGCAAGAGGAACAACAAAAGGUGUUCGUUGGACAUUGUAAUCGUUGAUUACACUCACUGUACAUGCCUUGAAUCGACUUCACGCAUAAAGGACAAAGCAAAACCCGCCGGCUACAUCACGUUAGAGACAAUGAUUAUUCUCUCAGAAACAACGCGGAGAAAAUUAAGAUUGUCCCCGCGUAGGAUCGCAAAUUGUCAACGUCGACGUCGAGUACUUUUCUCUCCCUGAAGCCGAGGGGUAAUUGUCCAAGAUAAUCGCAACUGGUCUGAUCUAAGGAAGAAUUACAUAUCGCGAGAAAUCAUUCGUGCGGAGGUGAUCAAUGACGCUCCCGGAGCGCGGCUAUUGUUCGUGACGGUCGCAAAGUGGAGCAAAGUCCAGGCAUAACGGAAUGGUCAUUUGCGAGAUGAACUCCGGGCGAGUCGCGGUGAGCCGUUAAAAGGGGGCUGCCUAUUAAUCUGCCGAGACAUCGCUUCCCCGUACGCAGAUUCCAAGUAGCUCCCGCUGUUGUUAUCGAAAUGCAGGACGCAAUCGACAACCAAUUGUUGCAAGAAGCAUUUCGUGGAGGAUCUUCAAAUUGGGAGAAAAGGGAGAAAGCAAGAGGAAAGCCAUCGCGAGAGGCAGGAGUGAAUUUUUCGGGACCUACGAGCGCAGAGUCUAACGAGAGGGAAGCGGUUGGCCGCUCCGCCAGGACGAAUUGUCAAUUACAUCGAACGCCGCAGUGACCCUCGGCAAAUCGCCAUUUAAUUGAAUAAUUACUCACCGAACGGGAUGAGCCGUGGUCGUUAGAAACCAAAGAGAGGUGGUCGUGAAAUCUCUCAGGAGCCCAUCAGCGACGCUCCUUUAAAGUGUCAAAGAUCGCAAGAUCCGCGGCCGAGGACCGCGGAGGAUCACAGAGUGAUCGUGAGAGAUUCUUCGCGAAGUGGAUUCGCGUAUCCGGACGAUGAUGAAGUGGACCCGACGUGGCGUGCAACCCCUUCGAAGGGAUCGCCGUGAGAUGGAGAGGAGGAGGCGGAGGUGGGGACGAAGGGGGCGAAGCAGAGCGCGCGAUCGGACCCGCCAAUUAAUCCUGCGUAUCCUUCGAGCCCGCCGCGCCUUCGUGCAACCGGACGCCAAUCUUGAGAAACGAUACCUCGGAUAGUCCUUGAUGUCCUUCGAGGGGAUCGAUUAUGCGUUCAACGCUGGACGAUGCAACAUGAGGAAACAAUUCCGGUGCUGGUCCGAGACGAAUCUCGUUGCCACUGCAGAAGCGUUUAGCACCAAAUGCAGCUGCCUCGUCCUGUCAUCCAGAUCGCCGAGGAUCGCACCCGUUCGAUGUUAAUGCGCGAUAAGGAGCUGGAGAACGGGGCGCGUUUAGCGCGGUAAAUGCGCGCGCUGUGAGCACGGGGCCUUUGUCUGUAAUCGGCGUUUUACGCGCGACGAUAAACAUCCACCAUUUAUAAUCCCCCGCUCGUUAGAGUCGACUCGCGAUGAAGAGAUACGGUUUAUCCAGCGGUGCACCCCGGCGCUUUGAUUUCUUCUUCCCUCUAAUUAUACCGUUACGCGCAAUCGUUCUCCUUAAUUAGCGGCGGCUCCUUCGAGAUCCCCGCCGAUCCGCCGCAUCCGUUAUCCGCCGCGAAUCUCGCAAUUUUCUCCCACCGGCUCUCACGAAUCGACGUCACACUCUCGAGGUUACAAUGUAAUAAUCGAAAAUUCAUUAAAUUACAUUAUAGGGAACGGUGCGCGCGCCGCUUUUGUAACACUCGUUUCUCGCGCGACGUACUUGUCGACAUCUUAGCGCUCCGUCAAGUUGCGUCUACUUUUUUACAGAAAAACGUCGCUAACGCAUGUCGCCGUAGCCCGCAGUCGCGAUAUAAAUUUGUCGAGAUACGCAUUAAGUACGUUUAUCCGUGCGCAGUGAUACGGUAAUCGCCGUCGAUUAAUCUGUCCCUUUUACCGUCCCCCAAUCAAAGCGACACGCGCGAUCGAUCACCUUAAUUGCAGUAGAUUCUGUUCCCUUUUCUCGACCAGCGCUUAACGGGGUAACAUUAAUCGAAGGCUUUUAUCAUGGCUCGAUACGUCGCCUUCGAAAAAAAAAUGCCAGCCGCCGCAGUCCGAUCGUUAUCGCGUGUUUCUUAUGCAUUUUUCUCUCCGUGAGGAAGUCUUUCUCGAUUGCUCUUUUUGCCUAUUAUCGUGUGCUAGUUCUGCUCUUCAUCAAUCAAGGUAUUAUCAAUCAGGUAUACGGAGACACGUGACAUGGAACUCUCAUUCCGUAAGAUUAUCAAUAUUUAGCAACGCUGUUAUUAUCGCAUCAUCGCGCUUUAUAGACGUGAAAAUAAACACAAAAUGAAACUUGACCGUCGUCUAAAUGCAACGCUAGCGAAUACAGUGAAAGUAGUAUGUACAUUUUUUUAUUACAGAUAUACGUUCUCUUCGAUCUGUAUCAUUAAUAUACAUAAUUAAGGUAAACCAUUUACAAUCCAGCGGAUAUUUUCAAUUAAAUAUCUUGUACUGUUACAAAUUCUUCAUUUAUUAGAAAUCUUACGGAUCUGUAGGAAACACCUUCACUUAAUACUAAUGACAUAGAAUUUCGAUUUAACUUGGAAAAGAUGAAGAAUGUGUGUUACCGCAAAGAUGAUGUAAAGUGUAAUUAGACAUAAUUUAAUUACAUAUAAAAUUGA
Harpegnathos saltator (Jerdon's jumping ant) is the source of this 3578-nucleotide long non-coding RNA. RefSeq lists it as uncharacterized. Lineage: Eukaryota; Metazoa; Arthropoda; Insecta; Hymenoptera; Formicidae. The record is from RefSeq and is a predicted model, not a curated record. The transcript is spliced from 7 exons.